This 530-nucleotide ribosomal RNA is filed under the name Arthrobacter sp. Its description in RNAcentral is "bacterial SSU rRNA". It matches the Rfam family "Bacterial small subunit ribosomal RNA", at positions 430 to 966 of the family's 1533-position model. The record is from RNAcentral. Lineage: Bacteria; Bacillati; Actinomycetota; Actinomycetes; Micrococcales; Micrococcaceae.
CCUCUUUCAGUAGGGAAGAAGCCUUUCGGGGUGACGGUACCUGCAGAAGAAGCGCCGGCUAACUACGUGCCAGCAGCCGCGGUAAUACGUAGGGCGCAAGCGUUAUCCGGAAUUAUUGGGCGUAAAGAGCUCGUAGGCGGUUUGUCGCGUCUGCUGUGAAAGACCGGGGCUCAACUCCGGUUCUGCAGUGGGUACGGGCAGACUAGAGUGCAGUAGGGGAGACUGGAAUUCCUGGUGUAGCGGUGAAAUGCGCAGAUAUCAGGAGGAACACCGAUGGCGAAGGCAGGUCUCUGGGCUGUAACUGACGCUGAGGAGCGAAAGCAUGGGGAGCGAACAGGAUUAGAUACCCUGGUAGUCCAUGCCGUAAACGUUGGGCACUAGGUGUGGGGGACAUUCCACGUUUUCCGCGCCGUAGCUAACGCAUUAAGUGCCCCGCCUGGGGAGUACGGCCGCAAGGCUAAAACUCAAAGGAAUUGACGGGGGCCCGCACAAGCGGCGGAGCAUGCGGAUUAAUUCGAUGCAACGCGAAG